UGAUGGGUAGAAGGCCUUGCUCUCAUGGGACCAGUGGUGGUGGGAGAUUUUGUUGGGGUGCUCUAAGAUAUCCUGGACUGGACUUGGGGAGUGCAACACCUCUUCAUUGUGGGAAGAUGAAUGCGAUCCGCUUCCUUUUCACACUCCUGUCACAGGGCUCAGGACUUUCAGUCUAUAUAGACUUUGUCCUUUGGCUCCAAGCCACAGCGUGGCUAUGGACUACAAAUAUGCCCCUCUAGAGGCUUUCAACCAAAUGGGCCAGGGCAGAGCUUUUCCCUGAGUCCAGAACUGACUACUCUGUGGCUUGUUUGCCUCUGUUGCUGGGAUGUUCUGUGUAGGAAGCAGGAAUCGAGCCCCACCCUUCAUGCAAGAACUAGCUACACAGGCUCACUUUCAGUUGUCAUAGAAGUCCCCCAGAAGGUCUGAAGUGACUUUCCCCCAGUGCAUACAACUGCCCCAGUGAGAACAGUGUCUGCUGUGUCUGCAACAGUGAACAAGGAAAGCAGGAGAUGACCCCCUCUCCAUGUCUUUUUCUCCUGGCUGCUGCUGUGUGAAGAAGGACAUGUUUGCUUCCCCUUCUGCCAUGAUUGUAAGAUUCCUGAGGCUUCCCCAUCCCUGAAGAAUUCAGUGAAGCCUGUGGAGAGCUGGAAAGAAAUAUUAUUUCCUGUAGUUCACCAUCUGUGGACCAAGGU
Molecule: non-coding RNA, 692 nt
Organism: Callithrix jacchus (white-tufted-ear marmoset)
Lineage: Eukaryota; Metazoa; Chordata; Mammalia; Primates; Cebidae
Source: RefSeq, a predicted model, not a curated record